This 120-nucleotide ribosomal RNA is filed under the name Arabidopsis thaliana (thale cress). The record is from RNAcentral. Lineage: Eukaryota; Viridiplantae; Streptophyta; Magnoliopsida; Brassicales; Brassicaceae.
GGAUGCGAUCAUACCAGCACUAAUGCACCGGAUCCCAUCAGAACUCCGCAGUUAAGCGUGCUUGGGCGAGAGUAGUACUAGGAUGGGUGACCUCCUGGGAAGUCCUCGUGUUGCAUCCCU